This 440-nucleotide long non-coding RNA is filed under the name Zea mays. Its description in RNAcentral is "long non-coding RNA (ZMAY_LNC002783)". Lineage: Eukaryota; Viridiplantae; Streptophyta; Magnoliopsida; Poales; Poaceae. The record is from RNAcentral.
ACCGCAGCGAGCUCCGCCCCGGAUCUGCGCAGCCCCAACACACGCCGUCGAUCUGCGCAGCCAUGACACACGUCGUCGUCUGCCCAUUUAGACAGCCCCGGUCACGAUGUCGUCGAAUCCCGGUGAGGACCCGUUCUUCUCCUUGUGUUUAUUUCUCUCCGGCACAUGUAUUCGACGCCGAUUAAUUAAAUGCUAAUCAUUUAUAUAUGUGUGUGCGUAUGCGUGUGAUUUUUGCAGAGGAGAAACACCUGAGGCAGUUGGGUGGAGAAGAAUAAAGAAAGCUCUCGCGCAUCACACACCUAGCGCUCGACGGAAUGAUUGAGAUUGAAUCGUCGUCGUUUCCGUUAUUUGGUUUAGUAUGGUGAGCUCUUUCGCCAUCCUUGUUAGUAGCGUGUAAGGUGGAUGCAUAUGCAUAGUGUGAUUAAAUUGAUUCUUUGAUU